This is a non-coding RNA of Drosophila melanogaster (fruit fly), 1368 nucleotides long. NCBI's taxonomy places the organism in Eukaryota, Metazoa, Arthropoda, Insecta, Diptera, Drosophilidae. The record is from Ensembl.
CGAAGCUGAAAUCUCGAUUCUCAAAGCUCCAGUUCAGUUCCGAGCAAAAACAACAAGAACGAGAGACACAAGAGCAACUACUAGAGUACAGUAAAUAACCAGAUUAGCAACAAAAACACCUAGAUUCGCGACGAGACGAGGCAGACAGACAGACGCAGCUAAACUAGCAAGACCAAAGGAAAACAAAGACAAAAAAUUGUUUUACAAAAUAGAUAUGUGCUUAAAGGGGGUUGAACGGGCGAACCUAUCGAUAACAAAGGCAAAUCCGUAAAGUAGCUCAAUGCGACAAAGAUCACGCACAAAAAAAGCCACACGCACGCAUUUUUAAGCCAACCGCAAGAAGAAGCCGAACAAUCCGGAGAAUCUGCGAUGGAAGUAGGAGGUGGAGAAAGGACGGAGAAAGAGCCCAAAGCCUGGGUUUACAGUUGUUUGAUUCCACAAAUCAGAUUAGAGCGAGAGGGAGCUACUGGAGUGUGGUGAACUGGAGCGCAAUGUGGUGGGUUCAAUGGGUUGACACCCCCCCACCCCUUUUUCCACUACAUAUCCUUGCCUAUAAAAAUAUAAUCACAAGAUCCGCACGGGGAAAGCAAAUGCUAGCGACAGCUGAACCACCAGAUUUACAUCGAUCACACUUUUUAUGCCACAUCAAGCGUCGGGCACAACAACAGUGCAACGCGAAAAGAGCGCCGCAGCGAGCUAGUGCAGCGAUGACAUUUGGGCGAGACAGUCGGGUGACACGCAGACAGAGAAGAACAUCGGUGGAGAUAGAGACGGAGACAAUGGACAGACGGACGGACAGGCGAACUAACGGACGGACAAAACAGUGUGCCAUGCACUUGCAAAGAAGCAUCCUUCAAAUAUCUAAGGCAACACAUUUAUAAUACCCAAAAAAUGUAUAAAGGACUUAUUCAAAUAUAUUGAAGCGGUGUAAUUUUAAUAAUCUAUCCGAUUUAGGAGCUACCAACAUCUAGAUACAGAUACGGAUCUUCAUAUAAUAUAAUAUAUAUAAUUUUUUAUCCAAUUAUAAGAGCCUUUGACCAACCAAAUUUCAUCAAAUACUACGAAUAGUUAGAAGCUAAAGAAAAACUCCGAAUUUGGGGAACUUAAUAAUUUUACAGCAAUGAGCACCAAGAUUUUUCGAGUGUAAAAAGUGCAGGGCAGACGAUCAGACACCAGACCAUCCACACCACGCCGAGCCACAGCGAAGCAGCAUCAGCAUCAGAUUGCCGUGACCGGUACCGCCGGGCGGAGGUGCGAGCGGGAUGGGCAGCUUUUGUGUACGGACGAGGCCAUUAGAUGAUCGCCGCGGCUAAAUUUAAAUGUCUGUGCGUUUAAGUUGCAAGGCAAAAAUAAAUCUACAUAAAACGU